Molecule: long non-coding RNA, 756 nt
Filed under: Fragaria vesca (wild strawberry)
Lineage: Eukaryota; Viridiplantae; Streptophyta; Magnoliopsida; Rosales; Rosaceae
Description: long non-coding RNA (FVES_LNC001992)
Source: RNAcentral
UACAAACUGGAAGCACAACCUAUGAUAUAUAUUGGUGUAGACAAUUGUGAGAUUUAGUGUCCAGGUUUAUGUUUCGAGCAGUUUUAGUUUGAUAGUGUCCCAGUUUAUGUUUCCGGUUGAUUUAUAUAUGGAGUAUGUAUCUGCAAACUUGAGAGGUACUAUUUGGUAGAAAAAUGGAUAGCUUUUGUUUUGCAAACUUGACAGGUACCUAUUUUUUGUUUUUAGCUACUUUUUAUGUACAAACUAUUGAAUUAUGUUUUUGUUCAAGUGAUAGAGUUCCUGGCAGUGUGAGAUCAUCAUGCAUAUGGAACGGACAGUCCCAUUCGCAGUAGUAUAUUGCAGAAAAGGCAUUAAUUCUUGUUGUGGUUGUGUUCUACAUUCGCAGUAGUAUAUUGAUCAUAUCUAAUAUUAGAAGUGAUUCAUUAUUAUGCAUGUAUGGUGUUGAUUUGUAUCAUUGCUCUCUUGUCUACCUAGAUGGGAAAAGAAUCAACGGUUUGGAUUGAGGUCGGAUGGCAUAUCAAAUGAUGGGAUGGAGAUGGAUGAUGAUCCACAAGAAGAAUAUUAUGGUCAUGAUGUACACAAGAAUAUUUUAGUACUGGGAAUGUUUUGAUGUGUUAAGCUAUUUUUUGUUGCUACUUCAUGUCAAUAUUAAAUGUGUUUUGCUAUCAAUGUAAACAUUGUAAAUGUUUAUGUUUUAAGAUGCUUUUGUGCUUGCAUGCUUCUUGAUGCCAAAUUAUAGUAUAAGAAGUCAAUUUU